Molecule: long non-coding RNA, 671 nt
Organism: Coccinella septempunctata (seven-spotted ladybird)
Lineage: Eukaryota; Metazoa; Arthropoda; Insecta; Coleoptera; Coccinellidae
Exons: 2
Source: RefSeq, a predicted model, not a curated record
CAAAGAUGACAGGAGUGGUGUAUAAAAUUCCCUGCCUAGGAUGUGACCUAAAGUACAUCGGUCAAACUAAACAACAACUUAAGAAGAGAAUUAUUCAACAUAGGAGUGAUAUAAAAAAAUCCAAAGAAGGUUUGUGCUCUUGCAGAACAUUGCCGAAAGACAGACCAUGUCAUGGGAUGGGACCUAGCAGAGGUACUGGAUGUGGAGAUGAAUUUGUACAAGAGAACAUUUUUGGAAAUGUAUCAUAUUAAAAAAUUAAAAGAAACAAUGAAUUCGAGAAGAGACAUUGAAGGGAUAAGCAAUAUUUAUAGUUAUAUUUUGUCGUAUAAUCAUGGUGAGACCAAUGGAUGAUUUGUUUCUGUGUAGUUUGUCAUUUUGUGUUUGUUCUAUGGUUUCAAUUAGAUAUGUCAGAUAUGUCAAAAAAAUCUAGAAUUGUUAAAACCUAUUUUUCUAAGGAAAUUGUUUGAUGGAUGAGUUUGUUAGAUGAAAAAAAAGUUUUUGAAGAUAAAUUUAAGUAUUGUUGUGUAUGCAUUGUUCAUCUCGGAGAACUUCUUGAGUGCCUUUUGAUGUACGUCUUUCCAACUGCUUCAGAGAAACUCAACUAUUCGAGUCCUGAUGAAGGAUCUGUAAAGAUCCGAAACGUCGACUAAGAAUAAAUGUAGUAUUCAGAA